GUCCAGACUCCUACGGGAGGCAGCAGUGGGGAAUAUUGCACAAUGGGGGAAACCCUGAUGCAGCAACGCCGCGUGAGUGAGGAAGUAUUUCGGUAUGUAAAGCUCUAUCAGCAGGGAAUAGAAAAGAAGGUACCUGAAAAAGAAGCCCCGGCUAACUACGUGCCAGCAGCCGCGGUAAUACGUAGGGAGCAAGCGUUAUCCGGAUUUACUGGGUGUAAAGGGCGCGUAGGCGGGAUGGCAAGUCAGAUGUGAAAUCCAGGGGCUCAACCCCUGAACUGCAUUUGAAACUGUCGUUCUUGAGUACUGGAGAGGUUGACGGAAUUCCUAGUGUAGCGGUGAAAUGCGUAGAUAUUAGGAGGAACACCAGUGGCGAAGGCGGUCAACUGGACAGCAACUGACGCUGAGGCGCGAAAGCGUGGGGAGCAAACAGGAUUAGAUACCCCAGUAGG
RNAcentral lists this ribosomal RNA (449 nucleotides) under uncultured bacterium. Its description in RNAcentral is "bacterial SSU rRNA". It matches the Rfam family "Bacterial small subunit ribosomal RNA", at positions 329 to 794 of the family's 1533-position model. The record is from RNAcentral.